Molecule: long non-coding RNA, 1563 nt
Filed under: Strongylocentrotus purpuratus (purple sea urchin)
Lineage: Eukaryota; Metazoa; Echinodermata; Echinoidea; Camarodonta; Strongylocentrotidae
Description: uncharacterized LOC115924641
Source: RNAcentral
UCACAUGGGUCAUUCCAUUUAGUUGGGGGCCAGCUGUGUCGUGGGUGGUUUUUGUUUUGAGUUCAUCCGUGUGGUUAUUUAGAGUGGUGUGGACAUUUUUCUUAAUCAUAAUAUUUUUAAGUAAGGAUCAAAGUAUAUCACCGGAAGAAAAAACAAAGAAAAAAGAUGGAUAAAUAAAGAAAAAAUAAUGAAAACAUGUGACGUGUCUCCAACUUUUUUGUGGUAUUUUUGGUACAUGAAAAGUAUUGUUACUAUAAAAUCCUACAAAGAUCUUGGAAAACAGUUGAGAGCAAUAACUUAGUGAUUAAAUGUAUCUUCGAUAUUGAAGUAAAACAUCGUGCGGUUCCCGUUUUUCGAUCGUAAUGACAACUUGUUUUUUUUGUGCAAGCAAAAUUUUGUUCACAACGUAAAUGUUCGUGUCGCUAGUUUUACGUAUGAAACGGACCUUUUCAAGCUUAAAUAUUUUCGAAUAAAAUGUCAACAAACCAGAAGAAAUAAUACCUAUAAUAUCAGGCCAAAUAAGGUCUUAGAAUUAAAUAUGAAUCACAUGGGUAUCGCAAUAAAAUGAGUCAAAAUAUUACUGCUACUCUCUUAGUUCACAAAUUGGUGUCUCGCCAAAAUUUUACGAUGUGAAUUUUGAGAUCGUUCUCCCGACACGAUCUGCGCCUUGAUGAACAAGCAAAUCAGUUGAUAAAGAGCCCUGAUGAAGCUAUCGCAUGAAACUACCAUGCGGUUCUUGCCGCGAUGAUACUCCGAUUAUUUUUUAGACCAAAAUUGUUUCGUGUCGCCCAUGUUUACGUUGUGAACAUUGCGGACGAAUGUUACGUUGUGAGAGGCUUUCUAAUCAGAAUUCAAAGUGUCAUCAUCUUCCCAUUCAAGUUCGAUUCAUGCAACAAAGACAGAGGGACCUGUACGACUUUUCAUCUGAGUCAGAAGCAACCCAUCCUAUGUCUGAUAUUUUUACAGUUAUGAUCGACCCCUUCCCAGUAUUUGAUGGCAGAGCUAGCUGUUACUUACAAGUUCACCAAUAUGAUGAACUUGAUUGAAUUCAUUUACAAACUUUAUCCUGAAAUAAAAAAGCAAUAAUUUCAGUCUAAACAGGAACAAGAAAUAUGAUCAAUUGAAAAGGUUGUUAGUAUGAACGUUAUAUUCUCAAUAUAAAACUUUUUUGUAAUGAUUGUUGUUGCAAAGUUGGCUCACUUGGCUGAUGGCGUCCCUCCAAUCAAUGAUGACGUCAAUAAACACCAUAAUGUAAUAAUUAAACAGGAAGAAUUGAAGAUGGAAAAUUAAAGUCAACAAUAAACAAAUGCUUUUAUCAGCUGCGAGAUACAAAUUUCUGUCUGAACAGGAACAAGAAUUAUGAUCAACUGAAAAGGUUAAUGUUAGUAUGAACGUUAUAUUCUCAAUAUAAAACUUUUUUGUAAUGAUUGUUGUUGCUAUAAUGUUAGUUGAUGGCGCCCCUCCAAUGAAUGAUGAGGUCUCUAAACAUUUAACAUAAUGUUAAUUAAAACAUGAAGAUGGAGAACUGAAGUCAACAUUGAAAUAAAUCAACACUAAAUAAAA